This is a non-coding RNA of Acanthosepion pharaonis, 112 nucleotides long. The record is from the annotation of a GenBank genome assembly. NCBI's taxonomy places the organism in Eukaryota, Metazoa, Mollusca, Cephalopoda, Sepiida, Sepiidae.
UACGGCCAUAUCAGUUUGAAUUCCGGUUCCGCUCCGAUAACCGAAUUUAAGCAACGUCGAGCCUGGUCAGUACCUAGAUGGGUGACCGAUUGGGAAUACCAGUUGUCGUAAG